GUCAUAAACCUUGUGUUAAAAUUUCAUAGAUGCUUAUUUGGGCCCUUUUUGGCCCCUAAUUCCUAAACUGUUGGGACCAAAACUCCCAAAAUCAAUCCUAACCUUCCUUUUAUGGUCAUAAACCUUGUGUUUAAAUUUCAUAGAUUUCUAUUUACUUAUACUAAAGUUAUAGUGCGAAAACCAAAUGUCUUCGGAUGAUGACGCCGACACCGCUGACGCCGUCAUACCAAUUUUCAACCUUGCGGUCGUAUAAAAAGUUAAUCACAGAUUAUAAGUGUGUUUUUUUUAUUUAUUUUUUUUAACCAAUCAAGCCUUCAAUAUUUUCCUUAUGAAUAUCAAAAUAUAGAUUUUCGUGAGAAUUUGAAGUAGAUAUGUAUUGCCUAAAAGGAAGUGAUUUUGUGUAAAAUAUUUGCUUUUAGUUUUUGUAUUUUUCUGUCAGGAAAUCAUAUUCUCUAUCAUCAUACAGAUAUCACCCUUUUCUGGAGUCAUUUCUAAGAUGACAUUUGCCUGAAAAAUAUCUCAAGCUUAAGUCUGAAAUUCCUGGUGAAAAUGGUUCCCCUAAAAGAGAUGAAUGGUGAGAAGUAAAUUCAUUUUUUUCUUUUUAAUUAUAUAUAGCACACAAGUAGCCAGGUAGGUAUGAGCGGUUCAUUGACACCCCCCCCUCACCCCAUUUGGAAUAAAAUAAGCACUUUUAAAGUUGUCAUUCUGUUUGAAUUGUAACUCUUAAAAGAGUACAAUUGUAUCAAACCCCCUUG
Molecule: long non-coding RNA, 755 nt
Filed under: Mytilus galloprovincialis (Mediterranean mussel)
Lineage: Eukaryota; Metazoa; Mollusca; Bivalvia; Mytilida; Mytilidae
Source: RNAcentral